This 502-nucleotide ribosomal RNA is filed under the name uncultured Actinomycetes bacterium. RNAcentral describes it as "bacterial SSU rRNA". It matches the Rfam family "Bacterial small subunit ribosomal RNA", at positions 355 to 867 of the family's 1533-position model. Lineage: Bacteria; Bacillati; Actinomycetota; Actinomycetes. The record is from RNAcentral.
UGGGGAAUAUUGCACAAUGGGCGAAAGCCUGAUGCAGCGACGCCGCGUGAGGGAUGACGGCCUUCGGGUUGUAAACCUCUUUCAGCAGGGAAGAAGCGAAAGUGACGGUACCUGCAGAAGAAGCGCCGGCUAACUACGUGCCAGCAGCCGCGGUAAUACGUAGGGCGCGAGCGUUGUCCGGAAUUAUUGGGCGUAAAGAGCUCGUAGGCGGCUUGUCACGUCGGUUGUGAAAGCCCGGGGCUUAACCCCGGGUCUGCAGUCGAUACGGGCAGGCUAGAGUUCGGUAGGGGAGAUCGGAAUUCCUGGUGUAGCGGUGAAAUGCGCAGAUAUCAGGAGGAACACCGGUGGCGAAGGCGGAUCUCUGGGCCGAUACUGACGCUGAGGAGCGAAAGCGUGGGGAGCGAACAGGAUUAGAUACCCUGGUAGUCCACGCCGUAAACGGUGGGCACUAGGUGUGGGCGACAUUCCACGUCGUCCGUGCCGCAGCUAACGCAUUAAGUCG